AUGCAUCACAUCACUACGACAACAUGGCCGACGAGGGCUUCGGUGAGAGAUUGGUGGAACGUCAACCUUCAGAUUCUCCUAGGGUCUCCCAGGGUGCUUGCCCCUUUGAUGAUGCUCAUUUCUUGGGAGAUUUGGUCGGAGCGUAAUGCUAGAGUCUUCCGAAAGACGGAUGUCCCUUCCAUGGUUAUUAUCAACAUGAUUAAAGAGGAGGUGUCUCUUUGGGCUUUGGCGGGCACAAAGCAUUUGAGUAUUGUAAUGCCGUUUUAUUUUGCCCUUUUUUAG
RNAcentral lists this ribosomal RNA (282 nucleotides) under Triticum aestivum (bread wheat). Its description in RNAcentral is "partial small subunit ribosomal RNA". Lineage: Eukaryota; Viridiplantae; Streptophyta; Magnoliopsida; Poales; Poaceae. The record is from RNAcentral.